UAAUAUUUCAGUUUCGACCCCGUUUGGUCAUCGAAAACUGUACCGAACAGUAAUCUUUAUCAGAUAGCUGUUGGAUUUUAUUUUCCACCUUUUGGGUGUCAGAAUGAUAUGAAACUUUAAAUCUAGCCUCAUAAAAAUAAUUCUGGCUUAUCCUCCAGUUUCAUAAUUUUCUGAGACUGUGCAUUUUCUGCUAAUUUAACUGUCCCGUUUCCAACAGAAAAUUCUAAAUCUUCUGUUUUCAUUCCGAUUUCAGCACAAGUCAUUUCUGACUUAUGUUUUACUUCUCUAAAUCCAAUAAAAAUAGUUUCUCACGCUAUUUUUAUUUAUUUUUAUUUUUAUACCAAAAUCUGGUAUGUUACAUUCUCCACCUCUUAAAAGAAUUUCGUCCGCGAAAUUCAAACCACGCCUUAAUUCAGCUCCGCGA
RNAcentral lists this long non-coding RNA (424 nucleotides) under Ananas comosus (pineapple). RNAcentral describes it as "long non-coding RNA (ACOM_LNC037549)". The record is from RNAcentral. Lineage: Eukaryota; Viridiplantae; Streptophyta; Magnoliopsida; Poales; Bromeliaceae.